AGAGUUUGAUCCUGGCUCAGGACGAACGCUGGCGGCGUGCUUAACACAUGCAAGUCGAACGGUGAAGCAGGAGCUUGCUCCUGUGGAUCAGUGGCGAACGGGUGAGUAACACGUGAGCAAUCUGCCCUGGACUCUGGGAUAAGCGUUGGAAACGACGUCUAAUACCGGAUACGAGACGCGAAGGCAUCUUCAGCGUCUGGAAAGAACUUCGGUCCAGGAUGAGCUCGCGGCCUAUCAGGUAGUUGGUGAGGUAACGGCCCACCAAGCCUACGACGGGUAGCCGGCCUGAGAGGGUGACCGGCCACACUGGGACUGAGACACGGCCCAGACUCCUACGGGAGGCAGCAGUGGGGAAUAUUGCACAAUGGGCGCAAGCCUGAUGCAGCAACGCCGCGUGAGGGACGACGGCCUUCGGGUUGUAAACCUCUUUUAGCAGGGAAGAAGCGAAAGUGACGGUACCUGCAGAAAAAGCACCGGCUAACUACGUGCCAGCAGCCGCGGUAAUACGUAGGGUGCAAGCGUUAUCCGGAAUUAUUGGGCGUAAAGAGCUCGUAGGCGGUCUGUCGCGUCUGCUGUGAAAACCCGAGGCUCAACCUCGGGCCUGCAGUGGGUACGGGCAGACUAGAGUGCGGUAGGGGAGAUUGGAAUUCCUGGUGUAGCGGUGGAAUGCGCAGAUAUCAGGAGGAACACCGAUGGCGAAGGCAGAUCUCUGGGCCGUAACUGACGCUGAGGAGCGAAAGCGUGGGGAGCGAACAGGAUUAGAUACCCUGGUAGUCCAA
This 779-nucleotide ribosomal RNA is filed under the name uncultured bacterium. RNAcentral describes it as "bacterial SSU rRNA". It matches the Rfam family "Bacterial small subunit ribosomal RNA", at positions 8 to 798 of the family's 1533-position model. The record is from RNAcentral.